Molecule: long non-coding RNA, 429 nt
Organism: Neopsephotus bourkii (Bourke's parrot)
Lineage: Eukaryota; Metazoa; Chordata; Aves; Psittaciformes; Psittacidae
Exons: 3
Source: RefSeq, a predicted model, not a curated record
UAUAGAGCAGCAGGAACACGUAAGCACUACCAGCCACUCCAUGACAUAUUCCAGGUCCCUUCUUCAACAGGCCUUUCUGCCAAGUUAGCUCUCCACAGCGGAUACAAGUGUCCAGAUAUUGAGGCUUCUUGGAAACCAGAUCCAUCAGUCUGAUGGAAGCUGACAACAAGCAGCAGGCAAGCUACAGAACAACCUCCAGAGUGGAGGAAGAGACAUUAAGAGAAGACAGUGGAAAAGAGACCUAGAGAAGAAGUGUUACAGGCAUAUUGGAACAGAUUUUUUCUGCAGACAGAAAAGAGAAUGCAAGGAAGAGGAAUGCAAAGAAAGCCUACAUGCUAAGCCAGACAAAAAAUGAUAUUUAAAAUCACUAUUAGAAUGGAUGAUAGAAACAAACCUACGCUGACCCACUUCCACAUUACCAAAGAAAAU